AGAAGCUUGCUGCCGAAAGUUUCAUGUUACCAUAGCUAAGGUUCUUGAUUUUUCUAAGCUCAAUUAUCAAGAAAGAAGAAAUAGUGCAAGUGAUCGGGGAAAAGAGAAAGUUAUCGACUAAAUUACAAAAAUAGUCGUUUUGCAUCCGAGUGAUUUGAACUUGAUCGAAUUGGGGAUCGUCGGAGCUCGUAUCACACUAUCAUAAUCAUCUCGGUAUUAUGUGCUUUUCAAAAUGUUUAAACUAUGGCAUGUAUAGAGUCUUGAUCAUUUUGAGCAUGUUCAAAUGAUAUAGCUAAUAUUAGCUAUUGAAGUAGCUAUUAAAGAAUAUGUUUUGGUGUUAUGUAUGUUAAAAUGGUAACUAAUUCAAAGAAGCAGUUUCUUUGACAGCAGCAGUGACGUGAAUGUGAAAAAUCACCAUAAAUAGUAGAAAUGGAAUUAGAGAGUGAAUUAUAUAUGGAAUUAAAUCUUAUCAAGUCUAUUUUUAUAUGAAAGAAACGGUGUAG
Long non-coding RNA from Gossypium raimondii (Peruvian cotton), 503 nucleotides. RefSeq lists it as uncharacterized. Lineage: Eukaryota; Viridiplantae; Streptophyta; Magnoliopsida; Malvales; Malvaceae. The transcript is spliced from 3 exons. The record is from RefSeq and is a predicted model, not a curated record.